AAUCAACGCUGGCGGCGUGCCUCAGACAUGCAAGUCGAACGCGAAAGUUUCCUUCGGGAGACAAGUAGAGUGGCGCACGGGUGAGUAACACGUAGGUAAUCUACCUUCGGAUGGGGAAGUAACAAUCGGAAACGGUUGCUAAUACCGCAUAAUGCAGCGGCACCUAAUGGUGACAGUUGUUAAAGCGGGGGAGUCGAAAGACCUCGCGUCUGAAGAGGAGCCUGCGGCGGAUUAGCUAGUUGGUAAGGUAAUGGCUUACCAAGGACGACGAUCCGUAACCGGCCUGAGAGGGCGGUCGGUCACACUGACACUGACAUACGGGUC
RNAcentral lists this ribosomal RNA (324 nucleotides) under uncultured bacterium. RNAcentral describes it as "bacterial SSU rRNA". It matches the Rfam family "Bacterial small subunit ribosomal RNA", at positions 32 to 332 of the family's 1533-position model. The record is from RNAcentral.